UACAGAGGUGGCAAGCGUUGUUCGGAAUUACUGGGCGUAAAGGGCGCGUAGGCGGCCUUCUAAGUCAGACGUGAAAUCCCCCGGCUUAACCUGGGAACUGCGUCUGAUACUGGAUGGCUUGAAUUCGGGAGAGGGAUGCGGAAUUCCAGGUGUAGCGGUGAAAUGCGUAGAUAUCUGGAGGAACACCGGUGGCGAAGGCGGCAUCCUGGACCGAGAUUGACGCUGAUGCGCGAAAGCCAGGGGAGCAAACGGG
RNAcentral lists this ribosomal RNA (253 nucleotides) under uncultured bacterium. RNAcentral's name for it is "partial 16S ribosomal RNA". It matches the Rfam family "Bacterial small subunit ribosomal RNA", at positions 524 to 776 of the family's 1533-position model. The record is from RNAcentral.